AACAGAGCCCCCAAGCGUUAUCCGGAUUUAUUGGGCGUAAAGGGUCCGUAGCCGGUCUAGUAAGUCUUUCGUUAAAUACCAAGAGCUUAACUUUUGGACCGCGGAAGAAACUAUUAGACUAGAGGAUGUUAGGGGCUGAUAGAACGUACGGUGGAGGGGUGAAAUCCGUUGAUAUCGAACGGAAUACCGAAAGCGAAGGCAUUCAGCUGGGGCAAUCCUGACGGUGAGGGACGAAAGCGUGGGGAGCAAAAAGG
Molecule: unclassified non-coding RNA, 254 nt
Filed under: uncultured Parcubacteria group bacterium
Lineage: Bacteria
Description: contains 16S-23S intergenic spacer region
Rfam family: Bacterial small subunit ribosomal RNA
Source: RNAcentral